CGGUGACGGUUCAUCCGGGUGGUACGUGGUCGACGGAGGAGGAGGGGGGCGCAGCAGCUGCAGAGAGCACAGCGCCCGCGCGUGCCGCUAGGUGAGGCGGCGGCGGGCGCGGCUCGCGCACGAGUGGCUGUAAUUUCGGCUGGAGGCUCUACGCCUGCCUAGGUCGCCCGUGUCCUGCGGCAGCGGGUCCUGGAGCUACCUAGCCGUCCAGCUGCGACUUCGCCGGCGAAGGCGGAGCCCAGUCCGCGGCCUGCACUUCGGAGGCGGACUACUCUAGGGACUCCAUUAGGGGAGUCGUCUGCUCCACCCGAACUUCUAUCUUCGGCCCAGUUGAAGAAGUAGAUUGGACAGGAAAGGGGGUCGAAGUCAUCAAUUUGUCAACUAACGUCGGUAACUUCUACCUUUUUCUAAGUCAAGUUACUUACUAUACUUCAAGUCACCACUGGUUAUAGACUUUCUCUUCCCACCGAACUCGAACAGACAACAAUUCAGUGAACAAGCGGCACUUUUCCUCCUUUCUAGAUCAAGACUUAAAAAACCACUGCUACUUUGUUUUAGGAACUACAUGAGCAACAAGUUUAAACGCCUUCUCAACGGGGUGCUGCUUUCAGUCACACGGGGUCUUAAUGAAGUAAGUCGUAGAAACAGGUCCCUAUAGGUACCACGUGGUGGACCUUCGAAACAAGUAGUGAACCCUCUCUAAUAACCGUCGUAAUCAAGACAUGUGUUCUACCGUAAAAAAACCGUUAGACAUCAACAACUCAACUUCUUUGAUACCAGACUACCCGUUGGUCACGGAGCUUACAGUAAUUUACGACGGGGCCUGAACUUAACGACAAAUGAUAUAGUCCUCUACGUUCAAUAUUUAACGACGUAACGGUCCUUUUUUGCUUCUUUUCGUCGUUUCCUCUGUGAACUAAGGAGCGAUUUUGUCCUUACAUAACUAUUGAGUUUAGGGUCCAUAAGUUUACCUCUAAGAGCACUGUCACCCUAAAUGCGUUCGUUAUCGUCACCACUAGUCCAAGAAGCCGAACCACAACUGACACGUAGGCCCUUGAAUUGUGACAAUCUUUGACCACUCGGACAUAUAAGAGGCUAAGACGUCCUUCCGGGAUAAUACUGUCGUCUCGAGUAUUUUCUUUGUCUCCUUGAACAGAAUGCCUGUCCUUCACAACCACGACCGACAAGAGUCGAAAAUAGUCUAUACGUCCGCAAGUUCCGACGUUUGGGCCCUACACAGGAACUUCUAAAGUAAUCCACCGUGAGAGGUGGACUGACCAGACUUCUAGCACGUCGUUCGUUACGUUGUCAUCCCCUCCCGAGUAGAUCUGCACCGUCCGAUUCACUGUCCUACGUUUGUUUUCUUCCUUUAAACACCUUCCUUAACACCCUUCGUCGUUUUGGAUAUGGGCGAUAACUUGUUUGAGGCGAUAUACUACUUCUAAAUCGACACCUCUCGUAUAAACUACGCAACCUUCAAUAACUUGGUCGUUUUGACAAAGUCGUCGAUGAGAGUCAGUAAGAAAGACAUACGAAACAUCGUCGACUUAGUCACGAUGGUCGUCUGUCAUUAGACAGCUUUAAUAAGAUGCUAACAUUUCUGAUGUAGUAACCGUAAAUGGUCCUACUGUACAGUUUUCUUUUCGACCUACUCUAGACGUUCCAAAUACUCUGCUACCUCCGGUAUCAUUGGGUAGGACUUCUGCGAGAAGUCUAGUGCCUCGUUGGACUGCUCUUCAGACGGCUCUUAUUCUUGGCGAAGUUCGAGUUCGACUUAAAGUGGCCGUUUCUAGCGGUCAGAGACACCUUCGCACAUCGGUUCCUACUCUUCUUUUGUAGCGGUUUACUACUCUUUUUUAGUGGCCUUCUUUUCUUAUGUUUAAAAAAGAGCUUGGAAGCGCUUUCCUUCCGGCGGGAUAAAAGCUUUUUCUUGCGUUUUCGAAGUCUCAACGGUAGACGCGGGGGUGGUAGUCGCGACCCAGGUAAACUGCUCUCGCUUACCUGCUAAAACAUCAACUCUGAGCUCCUACAAAGGAAAACAUGUUGAACAUUUCUUCCACGGGGUUCGACAUUUAUGAGUAGGUUAAGUAACUUGUGAAACGUUAUUUGAACUUUUUUUUUUGGCAAAACGAUAA
Molecule: ribosomal RNA, 2135 nt
Filed under: Triticum aestivum (bread wheat)
Lineage: Eukaryota; Viridiplantae; Streptophyta; Magnoliopsida; Poales; Poaceae
Description: partial small subunit ribosomal RNA
Source: RNAcentral